UACUUUGGUCCAUUCACCUAGGCCACAUCAAGUGUGGUUGUUAACAUUCUAAUUUUAUUAAUUAUGGGGCUAAUUAGAAAAGGUUAUGAGAAAUAAGAGUAGUAGUAUGAUAGGUGUAAUGAAGAUUCUUUUGAACUUUUAAAAUUAGGGAGUAUUGUUUGUCCGAAUUGAAUUUGACUUGGACAGAAAAAAAAGGGGCCAUCCCACAAAAGAUGAGGUUUAGGUGCAAAAUUGAUAGCAGACAGACCUUUAGCUGAUACAAAUAUAUUGAAAAGAGUUGAUUUUUUGAGUGAGCAAUGACGGUAUUGGUAAAAAGGCAAGUUCAGCCAGAAUAUGAUUCACUUUAAUUCAUCGAAGGAUAGUAAUAAUA
RNAcentral lists this long non-coding RNA (370 nucleotides) under Elaeis guineensis (African oil palm). Its description in RNAcentral is "long non-coding RNA (EGUI_LNC015657)". Lineage: Eukaryota; Viridiplantae; Streptophyta; Magnoliopsida; Arecales; Arecaceae. The record is from RNAcentral.